ACUGGCGGUCAUAGCGGCGGGGCAACACCCGGUCUCGUCAGACCCCGGAAGUUAAGCCUGCCAGCGAUUCGGACUGUACUCUUGUGCGAGAGCCAAGGGGAACUCCGAGACGCUGCCAGUC
Molecule: ribosomal RNA, 121 nt
Filed under: Hadesarchaea archaeon
Lineage: Archaea; Methanobacteriati; Hadarchaeota (SeqCode); Hadarchaeia (SeqCode)
Also listed under: 1 other name
Source: RNAcentral